UACGUAGGGGGCAAGCGUUGUUCGGAAUUACUGGGCGUAAAGGGCUCGUAGGCGGCCAACUAAGUCGGACGUGAAAUCCCUCAGCUUAACUGGGGAACUGCGUCCGAUACUGGAUGGCUUGGAUUUGGGAGAGGGAUGCGGAAUUCCAGGUGUAGCGGUGAAAUGCGUAGAUAUCUGGAGGAACACCGGUGGCGAAGGCGGCAUCCUGGACCAAUAUUGACGCUGAGGAGCGAAAGCGUGGGGAGCAAACAGG
This 253-nucleotide ribosomal RNA is filed under the name uncultured bacterium. RNAcentral describes it as "partial 16S ribosomal RNA". It matches the Rfam family "Bacterial small subunit ribosomal RNA", at positions 524 to 776 of the family's 1533-position model. The record is from RNAcentral.